GACGAACGCUGGCGGCGUGCCUAACACAUGCAAGUCGAGCGAGUGAAUCUCCUUCGGGAGUGAAGCUAGCGGCGGACGGGUGAGUAACACGUGGGCAACCUGCCUCAUAGAGGGGAAUAGCCUUUCGAAAGGAAGAUUAAUACCGCAUAAGAUUGUAGCUUCGCAUGAAGUAGCAAUUAAAGGAGCAAUCCGCUAUGAGAUGGGCCCGCGGCGCAUUAGCUAGUUGGUGAGGUAACGGCUCACCAAGGCGACGAUGCGUAGCCGAGCUGCGAGGGUGAUCGGGCACAUUGGGACUGAGACACGGCCCAGACUCCUACGGGAGGCAGCAGUGGGGAAUAUUGCACAGUGGGGGAAACCCUGAUGCAGCAACGCCGCGUGAGUGAUGACGGCCUUCGGGUUGUAAAGCUCUGUCUUCAGGGACGAUAAUGACGGUACCUGGGGAGGAAGCCACGGCUAACUACGUGCCAGCAGCCGCCGUAA
This 480-nucleotide ribosomal RNA is filed under the name uncultured bacterium. Its description in RNAcentral is "partial 16S ribosomal RNA". It matches the Rfam family "Bacterial small subunit ribosomal RNA", at positions 28 to 523 of the family's 1533-position model. The record is from RNAcentral.